RNAcentral lists this ribosomal RNA (257 nucleotides) under uncultured bacterium. RNAcentral's name for it is "partial 16S ribosomal RNA". It matches the Rfam family "Bacterial small subunit ribosomal RNA", at positions 524 to 776 of the family's 1533-position model. The record is from RNAcentral.
UACGAAGGGGGCUAGCGUUGCUCGGAAUCACUGGGCGUAAAGGGCGCGUAGGUGGUGGCUUAAGCGUGCGGUGAAAGCUCGGAGCUCAACUCCGAGUCGGCCGUGCGAACUGGGCUCACUGGAGCAUAGUAGAGGCAGGUGGAAUUCCGGGUGUAGCGGUGGAAUGCGUAGAGAUCCGGAAGAACACCGGUGGCGAAGGCGGCCUGCUGGGCUAUGGCUGGACACUGAGGCGCGGACAGCGUGGGGGAGCAAACAGG